Molecule: ribosomal RNA, 859 nt
Filed under: uncultured bacterium
Lineage: Bacteria
Description: SSU rRNA
Rfam family: Bacterial small subunit ribosomal RNA
Source: RNAcentral
UACGGAAGUGGCAAGCGUUAUCCGGAAUUAUUGGGCGUAAAGCGUCCGCAGGCGGCCUUGAAAGUCUGAUGUUAAAGCGUGGAGCUUAACUCCAUUUCAGCAGUGGAAACUACAAGGCUAGAGUGCGGUAGAGGCAGAGGGAAUUCCCGGUGUAGCGGUGAAAUGCGUAGAUAUCGGGAAGAACACCAGUGGCGAAGGCGCUCUGCUGGGCCAUAACUGACGCUCAUGGACGAAAGCCAGGGGAGCGAAAGGGAUUAGAUACCCCUGUAGUCCUGGCCGUAAACGAUGAACACUAGGUGUCGGGGGAAUCGACCCCCUCGGUGUCGUAGCCAACGCGUUAAGUGUCUCCGCCUGGGGAGUACGCACGCAAGUGUGAAACUCAAAGGAAUUGACGGGGGCCCGCACAAGCGGCGGAGUAUGUGGUUUAAUUCGAUGCAACGCGAAGAACCUUACCAGGGUUUGACAUCCUGCGAAUCCCUUGGAAACGAGGGAGAGCUUUCGGGAACGCAGUGCCAGGUGGUGCAUGGCUGUCGUCAGCUCGUGUCGUGAGAUGUUGGGUUAAGUCCCGCAACGAGCCCAACCCACGUCUUUAGUUGCCACCAUUCAGUUGGGCCCUCUAGAGAGACCGCCGGUGAUCAACCGGAGGAAGGUGUGGAGAGACGUCAAGUCAUCAUGCCCCUUUCAUCCUGGGCUACCCCCGUACUACAAUGGUACGGACAAAGGGCAGCAAACUCGCGAGAGCCAACAAAUUCCAUAAACCGUGGCUCAGUUCAGAUCGUAGUCUGCAACUCGCGUACGUGAAGGAGGAAUCGCUAGUAAUCGCAGGUCAGCAUACUGCGGUGAAUACGUUCCCGGGCCU